RNAcentral lists this long non-coding RNA (2966 nucleotides) under Amborella trichopoda. RNAcentral describes it as "long non-coding RNA (ATRI_LNC003315)". The record is from RNAcentral. Lineage: Eukaryota; Viridiplantae; Streptophyta; Magnoliopsida; Amborellales; Amborellaceae.
UUUUGAGUCGCUUUUCUAUGCUCUUUCCUUCUCUUUUAUUUACCUCAUCUCUCUUUUGAUACUUUGUCUCUCAUCCACCCAUUUUUUCUCCCUAUUAUACCCUUUUUCUCUCUCUACACCUCAUGUCUUUGUGUCACGACCUUGCUCCUGCCGUCUCCACUGAACCCGCAGAGGGCCAAGCCCGGGCCUGUCGAAAAAUCGUAGGGCAUGGGGCCACGACCACAGGUUGCGAGUGCCACAUUGGUUAGAGUGCGCCCAACACCUUGAAAACUGAGAAAUUUUCGGUAUCAAGCUAGCCACAAAAAAAAACAAAAAACAAAACACAAUAUACAUAACCAUAGUCUGCUAGACAAACAAGUCCCAAAAUAUAUAAAACAAUCCAAAAUAGUGCAUGUAAGUCCAAGGCACAGAAGCCCAACAUCAAGACGUAUUACCAAAUCAAAAUGGACUAUAUAGCCAGACUACCAACCAAAAUAUACACUACAAAAUAAAGCUUCAAUAUAAGGGGGGUAAGAGACCCAAACAUGACCACCAGGAUACGUCACUCUAGUCACGGCUAGCUAUCACUUUACAUAAGAGAAAAAUUAAUAGAGUGAGUUGUAAAGCCCAUUAAAUAAGAUCUAGGUGUCAUUCUUACAACUAUCUUGUCAUGUCAAUAAUCAGGGUUUUAUGCGAGUCUUACAAAACAUGGAAUCAUGUGUCAAAUUCAUAUUUAAACAAAAUGUAUCAUGCAUGAUUUAUUUCAUGGUGGAGUAAUAACUAAUCAGAUUAAUCAAAUAUGAUUGUAAUAAGAAGUCGAUCAAAUCAUUCAGACAUGAGCAUCAUAACAGAUUAAAACAUUUAGGCAUACAUGUAACAAGCAUAAUCAAAUCAAAGGAUACCAACCAACUCCUGAAGUAGGAGCCCCACCCAUCGGGCCAAUCAAAUCUUGGUGCGUAGAACAUCUACCAUCACAACUAGGAGAUAAACACCACCAACAAGUAAGUUCCUUGCAUAGUGCCUCACACACGUAGACAACCCCAUUACAAUGUGGUAAAUUAAUAGGCACUAGCCUUGCAAGACCUGACCCUCUCUGUGCCAUUCUGGCGAGAGGGCGCUACACUACUAAAGGGGUCCCAAUGAGUAGUGCUUCACAUAAGUUUGGGGGAGCGACUACCCAAAUACACACACUCUUAACUCUCAUCCUAUCAUGGAUAGCAGGGAGAAAUCACAGCUGCCGACACAAAUAUCUCAUCAAAUCAUAACAAAAGCAUGUCUCCAUGCGCACCAGCACAUAUCUUAUCAGAAGCAUGUUAUCAUGUAUAGAUUACAUUACAGAAGCAUGUCUCCAUGCACACAUAUCUUAUCAGAAACAUGUUACCAUGCACACAUAUCCUAUCAGAAGCAUGUUAUCAUAGAUAGAUCAUACAACAAAACCAUGUCUCUAUACACACAUAUCUUAUUGAAAGCAUGUUACCAUAUAUAUAUCGUAUAGCAAAAACAUAUCUCCAUGCACACACAUCUUAUCAAAAGCAUGCAAUGAGUGUCAUAUCAUAAUCAUAUUAGAAACAUAUUAUCAUACACAUAUCACAUAAAAUGCAUAUCAUGAAUAAUUAGUGGCAUGUUACAUACAGAUUUUUAUCAAGAGGUAUAUCACUAAUUGACAAGAUUCAUGCUUCUUAUACACACAUAUCAUAUCAAAAGCAUGCCAUACAUAAUAAUGAUCAUCUCAAAGAUGUGUCAGGUACAUCAAUUGGCAUCUCACUUAUGUACAUGUACUAUAUCAAGAUGGGACGAGAGUACGAUCCAAUCUCGUUAAAUUUUCUAGAUUUCUAAAGUGAGCAUAGUGUGCUUACUUAGACAUAAAUUUAAACUUAUCCAAUAUUAAAUUAUGGGACUUAUUCUCAGACUCAAAAUUAUACAACUUUUGUUUAAGAGGAAACACGAAAUUAUCGACCUAAAUGGGUCGAUUCACUUGAUCCUCUAGGAGUGAACUUUUUGCCCUAACCACAGCUGACCACCCUUUAGUAAAAAGGCCCUAACAUUUGGCAUAUGUAGAAUUUACUCAUGAAGCAUAACUUUAUGAAAACUAGACUCAUAAAUACACAACUUUCAUUUAGGAAGUAACACUAGAAAAUAGACCAAAGUUGGUCAACUAUAUGAUUCUUUAGGGAGUUACUUCUAUUCUAUGCAGCAUAAACUACAAAAGACAUUCUACCAGUAACAUGAUCAUAACUCUUAGACUAUAGAGAGUUUCAUCAUGAUCCCAAAACCAAAAUUCAUCUAGACUCGUUAAUCUAAAAUUUCAAAGUGGUUUCAUAUCAUUCUAGUAAAUUUUGUUCAAUUAAAAACUUCACACAUAAACAUGUCAAAUCCCUAGAGUUUCAGUUCACAUAUCUGACAUGCUUAACAAAUAGUUAAUAGCUUUUAAAUUAUAUUAGAUAUUAACAAUGGGUCUUUUUCAUGUAGAAAUACAUUCAACAUCCUACUGACCCACUCAGAUUCAUAGACUAAUUCAAGGUUUAAGAUACCCUAACAAUCUCUCAAACAGGGACCAUAAUUUUGGAAAUCAAAAUACCCUUUAAUAUAAUUUUAGUAAGCAUGCACCCACACUCACAUACAUAUACAUACACACACACACACUUAAAUUUCACAUUUGAAUUAAGCAAAUAAACAUGUAUUAACAUGAGCAUGAAACUAUGAAAAACUAAAUCUACUUACCUUACUCCAAUCAAAAUCUUCAAGAUGAAAUGUUCUACAAUCGCCACUUCAAUUGCCAAACUUCAAAUGGACUAGGUUCAAGCUUCAAAGGUUCAAGGCUUAUGGCGUUAAAAGGCUUGGUGGGGUUUAAUGGCUAAGGGAGAAGAAGAAAAACGAAGGGAAAAGAGGGGUACAUGAGGGAGUGAAGGGGUGAGGAGAGACAGUGAAACUAAUUUAUGAGUGAAUGGGGGGGUAAAUAUAAGAAUGGGGGAGCAUGGUGGCAUGUG